Molecule: ribosomal RNA, 467 nt
Filed under: uncultured bacterium
Lineage: Bacteria
Description: bacterial SSU rRNA
Rfam family: Bacterial small subunit ribosomal RNA
Source: RNAcentral
GCCCAGACUCCUACGGGAGGCAGCAGUGAGGAAUAUUGGUCAAUGGGCGCGAGCCUGAACCAGCCAAGUCGCGUGAGGGAGGACGGCCCUACGGGUUGUAAACCUCUUUUGCCGGGGAGCAACGGGCGUCACGUGUGGCGCCACUGAGAGUACCCGGAGAAAAAGCAUCGGCUAACUCCGUGCCAGCAGCCGCGGUAAUACGGAGGAUGCGAGCGUUAUCCGGAUUUAUUGGGUUUAAAGGGUGCGUAGGCGGCGCUUCAGGUCAGCGGUGAAAUACCGGGGCUCAACCCCGGGGCUGCCGUUGAAACCGGAGCGCUAGAAUUCCGAUGCCGUCGGAGGAAUGUGUGGUGUAGCGGUGAAAUGCAUAGAUAUCACGCAGAACUCCGAUUGCGAAGGCAGCAUACCGGCGCUCAACUGACGCUCAUGCACGAAAGUGUGGGUAUCGAACAGGAUUAGAUACCCCUGUA